AUGUCACUUCGUGACUUUUGUCGGAUUUGUUUGAUCCCUUUUGAGGUUCGUGUAGAGGAACCACAUCAUGACGAUGUGGAUGGGUUUAUUGAUACCAUUGUUGUAGGGGAAACGAGGAAGGUUUCCAACGCACCAAUUACUAGCAUACACUUUCCUGUUCUAUGUUACUUUGUUAUAUUUGCUAGUAGAUGCUUAAUUGGGCGCGGAAACUGUGGAAACCUGAGUGCCCUUGAUAUUGUUAUUUUGUGCCAUGCCUUGUUCCGUGAUGACACAUUUAGUAUGGGCGCUAUUAUUGCAAAGUGGUUAAAUCUUAACCAUACUAAGGGCCCCGUCCUUGGAGGCAUCUUCGCCUCGCGCCUCGCUGCACACUUUAACAUACCUAUUAGGCAUUAUGAGAAGGAAGAGAAGAUGCCGCCUCCUGUUUAUCUAGAUUAUAAGAGUAUGUAG
This 447-nucleotide ribosomal RNA is filed under the name Triticum aestivum (bread wheat). RNAcentral's name for it is "partial small subunit ribosomal RNA". Lineage: Eukaryota; Viridiplantae; Streptophyta; Magnoliopsida; Poales; Poaceae. The record is from RNAcentral.